GUGGUAAAAUGCGUAAAUAUAUGGAGGAACACCAUGAGCGAAGGCGGCUUGCUGGGUCUUAACUGACGCUGAGGCACGAAAGCGUGGGGAGCAAACAGGAUUAGAUACCCUGGUAGUCCACGCCGUAAACGAUGAGUACUAGACGUUGGGUUAAACCAGUGUCGAAGUUAACACAUUAAGUACUCCGCCUGAGUAGUACGUACGCAAGUAUGAAACUUAAAGGAAUUGACGGGACUCCGCACAAGCGGUGGAUCAUGUUGUUUAAUUCGAAGGUACCCGAAAAACCUCACCAGGUCUUGACAUGUUUCUGCAAAGCUGUAGAAAUACAGCGGAGGUUAUCAGUUGCACAGGUGGUGCAUGGUUGUCGUCAGCUCGUGUCGUGAGAUGUUGGGUUAAGUCCCGCAACGAGCGCAACCCUUGUUGUUAAUUGCCAUCAUUAAGUUGGGGACUUUAGCAAGACUGCCAGUGAUAAAUUGGAGGAAGGUGGGGACGACGUCAAAUCAUCAUGCCCCUUAUGACCUGGGCUACAAACGUGAUACAAUGGCUGUUACAAAGGGUAGCUGAAGCGCAAGCUUUUGGCAAAUCUCAAAAAAACAGUCUCAGUUCGGAUUGAAGUCUGCAACUCGACUUCAUGAAGUUGGAAUCGCUAGUAAUCGCGAAUCAGCAUGUCGCGGUGAAUACGUUCUCGGGGUUUGUACACACCGCCCGUCAAACCACGAAGGUUGGCAAUACCCAAAGCCGGUGGCCUAACUUGAGCAAUCAAGAGGGAUCCGUCUAAGGUAGGGUCGAUGAUUGGGGUUAAGUCGUAACAAGGUAUCCCUACCGGAAGGUGGGGAUGGAUCACCUCC
Molecule: ribosomal RNA, 848 nt
Filed under: Candidatus Phytoplasma hispanicum
Lineage: Bacteria; Bacillati; Mycoplasmatota; Mollicutes; Acholeplasmatales; Acholeplasmataceae
Description: bacterial SSU rRNA
Rfam family: Bacterial small subunit ribosomal RNA
Source: RNAcentral